Molecule: long non-coding RNA, 618 nt
Organism: Beta vulgaris subsp. vulgaris (sugar beet)
Lineage: Eukaryota; Viridiplantae; Streptophyta; Magnoliopsida; Caryophyllales; Amaranthaceae
Exons: 2
Source: RefSeq, a predicted model, not a curated record
AAGAAUUUUUUAAAAAUGUUCUUGUUUGUGACUCUUUGUAACAUAAUAUGGAAUGGAGGGAAUACAUUAGCUGUACCUGUCACAUAGUCAUAUGAGACUCGCAUCUCGAGUUUCUAUUGUAUUACUCAUGAAAAUAUCAGCUCUAAUUCAAGAAUUUAAGAGUAUUCAUCCCAAUUAACCCAAAGCUAAUCCAUACCUAUUAAAAAGAGAGAACUUGUUUUACUGUAGCUUAACAAUAGUGCAUGGACUGUAUUACCCCUCCAAAUCCUUACAAUUACAUCCUUGCCCACACGUUUUCUUUCUUCCUGUUUUUCCUCCAAGCCCUUCAACUGGCUUUACCAGGAUCUCUCUCUCUUUUUUUUUUUUUUUUUGCAUUACCUGAUUCUUCUUUCUUUCAUUCACCGAUUAAUUACUCCCAAAAAACACCAAAAAUCACAAAAGCCAGAUCAAAAGAGAGAAAAUGGUAGAUUGGGGACCUGUGAUUUCCUAUCAUUCACCGAUUGUUCGUGUUGCUGUCACCGAGAUUACUAGUACAAGUACCGGGAUACAAUUGAUCUAUUGAGUUUGGAGGCUAUGUUGCAAUUGAGGGAAGAUGAGACAGAGCUUACAUAUUCAGAU